This 812-nucleotide long non-coding RNA is filed under the name Homo sapiens (human). RNAcentral describes it as "HSALNT0367669". Lineage: Eukaryota; Metazoa; Chordata; Mammalia; Primates; Hominidae. The record is from RNAcentral.
ACUUCGGUAAGAUUUCAGUAGAUACCGCAAACAGAAGAGCAAGCAGAAAGGGAGAUUUCCAAGCGAACAAAACCGGCCCUAGCUACUGAGCAUGCUCAAUGUCACUUAGAAACCCGCAGAAGUUUCAGAAUAUACAUCACUUCGGUAAGAUUUCAGCAGCUACCGCAAACAGAAGAGCAAGCAGAAAGGGAGAUUUGCAAGAGUUUUAAUGAGACGAGGAGGGAGAAGGAACCACGAAAAUGAGGGAGGAGGGACAAGAGGAUCAACAUAAAAUGAAUAUGAAAAGGAUAUGGAAUGAAUCUGAAACGGAUCAGAAAAGAAAGUGACAAGUGGGAGGGACACCGGAGAAUGCCAAAUAUCAAAUACACUUGGAUCUGUUUUUCACAGAUCCCCCCGGCUUUUUUGGGGGUCUGAUUUCACAAAAGGUCUCAGAACCUAAUAGACAAGUUGUAAUCGAGGGUUUCCCUUGUAAAUAAAUAGGAUAAAAGUCUUCCGUGUUACAGAAAAUAAUUAUUUGCUAUGCCUCUAGCCAUUCUCCCUUUUUCCUCUGCAUCCUACUUGUCCUUAUGCUAAAAAUCUUCCAGCCCCAUAACUGGAGAUCUGAUGUACUCAUAUUUAUUUACAAGGUGACGACUAUUAAAUAAAUGAGAGCAAUGUUUCAUGUUUACUACUCCCAUGUGUUAGGUAGUUUUUACUUGGAGUGGGGUAGCACUUAUAGUGAAAGUUUAACCAUUUGGGAAUUCAGCUGGUGUUGGAUGGUGGAAAUAGCUUCUCUAGGACCUUACUUCAUUUUUCAAGAAUGCUUUGUCUUU